CAGACUCCUACGGGAGGCAGCAGUGGGGAAUAUUGCACAAUGGGCGCAAGCCUGAUGCAGCAACGCCGCGUGAAGGAAGACGGUUUUCGGAUUGUAAACUUCUGUUCUUAGUGAAGAAUAAUGACGGUAGCUAAGGAGCAAGCCACGGCUAACUACGUGC
This 160-nucleotide ribosomal RNA is filed under the name uncultured bacterium. Its description in RNAcentral is "partial 16S ribosomal RNA". It matches the Rfam family "Bacterial small subunit ribosomal RNA", at positions 332 to 508 of the family's 1533-position model. The record is from RNAcentral.